RNAcentral lists this ribosomal RNA (321 nucleotides) under uncultured Methanosarcinaceae archaeon. RNAcentral describes it as "bacterial SSU rRNA". It matches the Rfam family "Archaeal small subunit ribosomal RNA", at positions 325 to 648 of the family's 1478-position model. Lineage: Archaea; Methanobacteriati; Methanobacteriota; Methanomicrobia; Methanosarcinales; Methanosarcinaceae. The record is from RNAcentral.
ACGGGCGCAGAGGCGCGAAAACUUUACAAUGCUGGAGACCGUGACAAGGGGACACCGAGUGCCAGCAUCAUAUGCUGGCUGUCCAGAUGUGUAAAAUACAUCUGUUAGCAAGGGCCGGGCAAGACCGGUGCCAGCCGCCGCGGUAACACCGGCGGCCCGAGUGGUGAUCGUGAUUAUUGGGUCUAAAGGGUCCGUAGCCGGUUUGGUCAGUCCUCCGGGAAAUCUGAUAGCUUAACUAUUAGGCUUUCGGGGGAUACUGCCAGGCUUGGAACCGGGAGAGGUAAGAGGUACUACAGGGGUAGGAGUGAAAUCCUGUAAUCC